RNAcentral lists this ribosomal RNA (402 nucleotides) under uncultured bacterium. RNAcentral's name for it is "bacterial SSU rRNA". It matches the Rfam family "Bacterial small subunit ribosomal RNA", at positions 355 to 774 of the family's 1533-position model. The record is from RNAcentral.
UGGGGAAUCUUGCACAAUGGGGGCAACCCUGAUGCAGCGACGCCGCGUGAGCGAUGAAGCCCUUCGGGGCGUAAAGCUCUUUCGACCGGAACGAUAAUGACGGUACCGGGAGAAGAAGCUGCGGCUAACUACGUGCCAGCAGCCGCGGUAAUACGUAGGCAGCAAGCGUUGUUCGGAGUUACUGGGCGUAAAGGGUGCGUAGGCGGUUUUCUAAGUUCGGUGUGAAAUCUCCCGGCUUAACUGGGAGGGUGCGCCGAAGACUGGGAAGCUGGAGUGUGGGAAAGGCAGGCGGAAUUCCUGGUGUAGCGGUGAAAUGCGUAGAUAUCAGGAGGUACACCGGCGGUGUAGACGGCUUGCUAGACCAUAACUGACGCUGAGGCACGAAAGCGUGGGUAGCAAACA